This is a non-coding RNA of Peromyscus maniculatus bairdii (prairie deer mouse), 334 nucleotides long. NCBI's taxonomy places the organism in Eukaryota, Metazoa, Chordata, Mammalia, Rodentia, Cricetidae. The record is from RefSeq and is a predicted model, not a curated record.
CAGGAUCAAGCCAGUCAGCACUACAACAUGGAAAGGGCGGGGCCUCAUAGGCCCUAUCCACAGCUGCAGGGCGACUGGCAGCUGAUGACCGCUGGGGUCACAUGGGAGGUGAAUAGUGAAGCUGGGCUUCAGUUCUGGCCAUCCGGCACUUGUAUUUAAGCAUGACACUCUCCUGACUCCCUAACCUGUGGGAGUCCAGGGAUGUGAAGGUUCAAGUAACUCCUAGGAGGGCAAGUUCAACUUUAACCGAAAGGAACAUCAACACAGACGGCAAACACAGACCAAAGAGUCCUCAUAUGCUGUUACUCCGGAUAGCCUCCUUAGAUAUCCAUGA